RNAcentral lists this ribosomal RNA (254 nucleotides) under uncultured bacterium. RNAcentral describes it as "partial 16S ribosomal RNA". It matches the Rfam family "Bacterial small subunit ribosomal RNA", at positions 524 to 776 of the family's 1533-position model. The record is from RNAcentral.
UACAUGGGGGUGCAAACGUUGCUCGGAAUUAUUGGGCGUAAAGCGCGCGUAGGCGGUUACUUAAGUCGGAUGUGAAAGCCCUCGGCUUAACUGAGGAAGUGCAUCCGAAACUGAGUAGCUAGAGUACGAAAGAGGGUCGCGGAAUUCCCGGUGUAGAGGUGAAAUUCGUAGAUAUCGGGAGGAACACCGGUGGCGAAGGCGGCGACCUGGGUCGAGACUGACGCUGAGGCGCGAAAGCGUGGGGAGCGAUCCGG